CCUACGGGAGGCAGCAGUUGGGAAUAUUGCACAAUGGGGGAAACGCUGAUGCAGCGACGUAGCGUGAGUGAAGAAUUCUUUCGGUAUGUAAAGCUCUAUCAGCAGGGAAGAAAAUGACGGUACGUGAGUAAGAAGCCCCGGCUAACUACGUGCCAGCAGCCGCGGUAAUACGUAGGGAGCAAGCGUUAUCCGGAUUUACUGGGUGUAAAGGGAGCGUAGACGGCAGUACAAGACUGGAGUGAAAUUGCGUGGCUUAACCCCGGAACUGCUUUGGAAACUGUGCAGCUUGAGUGCAGGGGAGGUAAGUGGAAUUCCUAGUGUAGCGGUGAAAUGCGUAGAUAUUAGGAAGAACACCAGUGGCGAAGGCGGCUUACUGGACUGUAACUGACGUUGAGGCUCGAAAGCGUGGGUAGCGAACAGGAUUAGAUACCCGAGUAGUC
Molecule: ribosomal RNA, 440 nt
Filed under: uncultured bacterium
Lineage: Bacteria
Description: partial 16S ribosomal RNA
Rfam family: Bacterial small subunit ribosomal RNA
Source: RNAcentral